This 602-nucleotide ribosomal RNA is filed under the name fungal sp. E15016G. RNAcentral describes it as "eukaryotic LSU rRNA". The stretch from base 209 to 362 matches the Rfam family "5.8S ribosomal RNA". The record is from RNAcentral. Lineage: Eukaryota; Fungi.
GGAUCAUUAGCGAAGCUCGGAACGUCGUGUUCGGUACUGAUGCUGGCAGGCAACUGCAUGUGCUCGUCUGGAUGCGCGUCCCUUCACUAUCCCACCCCACUGUGAACCAAGCGUUGUGGACCGAAGAGAGAUCGGAGGUCUGCGCGCACAUUUCAACAUACCCCAAUGAAGUAUUCAGAAUGUACCUUGCGUUAACUCGCACAAAUACAACUUUCAACAACGGAUCUCUUGGCUCUCGCAUCGAUGAAGAACGCAGCGAAAUGCGAUAAGUAAUGUGAAUUGCAGAAUUCAGUGAAUCAUCGAAUCUUUGAACGCACCUUGCGCCCCUUGGCAUUCCGAGGGGCACGCCUGUUCGAGUGUCGUGAACUCCUCCACUCCUUACCUUUUUCGAAGGGUACGGGGCUGGGAUUUGGGAGCUUGCGGGUCCCUGGCCGAUCCGCUCUCCUUGAAUGCAUUAGCAGAGCCCUCGCGGCCUUGGUGUGAUAGACAUCUACGCCUCGGUGCAGCGCAUGAAUGGGCUAAGCUUCCAACCGUCUCGCAAGGGACAACGACUACCAACUUGACCUCGAAUCAGGCGGGACUACCCGCUGAACUUAAGCAUA